Molecule: ribosomal RNA, 1315 nt
Filed under: Escherichia coli
Lineage: Bacteria; Pseudomonadati; Pseudomonadota; Gammaproteobacteria; Enterobacterales; Enterobacteriaceae
Description: bacterial LSU rRNA
Rfam family: Bacterial large subunit ribosomal RNA
Source: RNAcentral
GGGUUGUGAGGUUAAGCGACUAAGCGUACACGGUGGAUGCCCUGGCAGUCAGAGGCGAUGAAGGACGUGCUAAUCUGCGAUAAGCGUCGGUAAGGUGAUAUGAACCGUUAUAACCGGCGAUUUCCGAAUGGGGAAACCCAGUGUGUUUCGACACACUAUCAUUAACUGAAUUCAUAGGUUAAUGAGGCGAACCGGGGGAACUGAAACAUCUAAGUACCCCGAGGAAAAGAAAUCAACCGAGAUUCCCCCAGUAGCGGCGAGCGAACGGGGAGCAGCCCAGAGCCUGAAUCAGUGUGUGUGUUAGUGGAAGCGUCUGGAAAGGCGCGCGAUACAGGGUGACAGCCCCGUACACAAAAAUGCACAUGCUGUGAGCUCGAUGAGUAGGGCGGGACACGUGGUAUCCUGUCUGAAUAUGGGGGGACCAUCCUCCAAGGCUAAAUACUCCUGACUGACCGAUAGUGAACCAGUACCGUGAGGGAAAGGCGAAAAGAACCCCGGCGAGGGGAGUGAAAAAGAACCUGAAACCGUGUACGUACAAGCAGUGGGAGCACGCUUAGGCGUGUGACUGCGUACCUUUUGUAUAAUGGGUCAGCGACUUAUAUUCUGUAGCAAGGUUAACCGAAUAGGGGAGCCGAAGGGAAACCGAGUCUUAACUGGGCGUUAAGUUGCAGGGUAUAGACCCGAAACCCGGUGAUCUAGCCAUGGGCAGGUUGAAGGUUGGGUAACACUAACUGGAGGACCGAACCGACUAAUGUUGAAAAAUUAGCGGAUGACUUGUGGCUGGGGGUGAAAGGCCAAUCAAACCGGGAGAUAGCUGGUUCUCCCCGAAAGCUAUUUAGGUAGCGCCUCGUGAAUUCAUCUCCGGGGGUAGAGCACUGUUUCGGCAAGGGGGUCAUCCCGACUUACCAACCCGAUGCAAACUGCGAAUACCGGAGAAUGUUAUCACGGGAGACACACGGCGGGUGCUAACGUCCGUCGUGAAGAGGGAAACAACCCAGACCGCCAGCUAAGGUCCCAAAGUCAUGGUUAAGUGGGAAACGAUGUGGGAAGGCCCAGACAGCCAGGAUGUUGGCUUAGAAGCAGCCAUCAUUUAAAGAAAGCGUAAUAGCUCACUGGUCGAGUCGGCCUGCGCGGAAGAUGUAACGGGGCUAAACCAUGCACCGAAGCUGCGGCAGCGACGCUGAUGCGUUGUUGGGUAGGGGAGCGUUCUGUAAGCCUGCGAAGGUGUGCUGUGAGGUAUGCUGGAGGUAUCAGAAGUGCGAAUGCUGACAUAAGUAACGAUAAAGCGGGUGAAAAGCCCGCUCGCCGGAAGACC